UUAUCAUGUGUGAAACCCUCUAAUCCCAACUCCAAUCACCUUCCCUUUCCUCUAAAACAACUAAUUUAAUGUCACAAUUUUUGAUAAGAUAAAACAGGUUAUUCUUAGGCAUCUGCUAUCUAUCACAUUAUAGCAGAACCAACAGUACUAUUGGACUCUCUGUAUCCUAGCACUUAGAGCCCCCGUUUUGCACUAAAUGGACACUCACUGACCUGCAGGUGUUUUUAGUUUCUGUCCAUUGUUUUUCUAAACAAAGCAGAGAAGGAGAAGACACUGAAGCAAGAGAAGCAGGGGAAGCUGCAGCCCCCAUGGUGGUGGUGCCUUGAUGCUGUAAGGACUUUUAUUUCUGGUACGAUCCAGAGCUAUGAACGGGAAAGCACACAGCAUAGCAGGUCAGCAGGUCUGAGUAUCCACUGUGAGCUGAGCGUGUAUAAGAAAGUACAAGAAAGGUCUCUGUCUUCCCUGACCUUAGGAUCUGGUUGAAGAAACAGACCACGCACUCCCAGGGAACAGUUAAGCCCUAAGCGGAGCUCUGUGCACUGGAUGAGAAUGAGCAACCCUCACAGCUAGCGGCCUAGGAGUCCACGCUCAGGGAAGUCUCAGUGUGCGCUGCUGGGCUUGAGUAGGCCAUGAAGGACGGGUAGUGCACAGCAAGGCACAGACAAGAGCACCAGAGAGCAAAGACCCUGAUAAUGAUUUUUGGUCUGGAAUUUCAACUAGAGGAGUUCAUCCUAUUGAAGGUGCAAAUCAAAUCCUGUGCUUGGAGUCGCUUUGAAGAGAAAGAGAUUCUAUGAAACUCUUUGCAAGAUGAAGAUGCAGUUUGUCUCUCGCUGAGACCCUGACGCAGGUAUGAGAAGGACUAGAAAAGACUGGAGGUGGAGGAAGCAAUUGACUGCCUAGUGGGAAAGGAACAUGGGAGGACACAGACCGCUCCAUGUGUGAGGUUUGAGCUGAAUCUUGUGGCAUGAGACAUUUCCCUGGAACUAAGCUGCUACUCAGGACAGGAUUGACUGCAUAGCACCCUGAUGUUAAUCACUUAUAAGGACUGAUGUCUGGAGCCCAGGGGUGUUGAUACUUCAGCAGAUUUCCACCAAAUAGACAUUCUCCUAUUCAUGCAGACUGUGCUUGCUUUAACCUACAAACAGAAUAUCACAAGAAUGGGAUUUUCAAGUGCAAUAACAAGCUACUGGAGGAACAGAUAUGGGUAGGAGGUCAACUUGCAUCUCUAAGUGAAAACAUGAGGCCCCUGGGGAUCCCUUUCUGAAUCCAGCAUCCUCCGGUCCAUGUCUUUGCAGGGAUGUGCAGGGGCCCUGUGAAGUUCCUGAGGAAUCCUGCAGCUGUUGGGGUCUUGGAGGAGAUGGCCAGCGUGUCUCCCAGUCCUUGUUAGUACCACAAAUAACCCAUUGAGGGGAGCAGGAGAAGGGAGAGCUUCCAGAGCUGCCCCUGGGGGCUCUCAAUGGGGGCACUGUUUAGGCUUGGGCGGAGGCCAGCCCUGACACCAUGCUGGUUGUCAAGGCCUCAUUCUUCCCAAGGAGGCGGCUGGAAAGGCAGCAGAGCAGCUGAGGCUCCAGAAAAGGUACUUCUCUUGUUCCUUACAAGGCCCAACUGACAAAUGAGAGGAAGCCACUUCCUUUUUAAUUAUCUUCUGUUGUUCAUUACAUUUACAUCCCAAGCGUUUUCCCCCUUCCCAGUCACUCUCGUUUUACUACUCAAGACCCGAAACUGAUGGGUUUUUCCUUUCUCUCCCCAAUCUCCACUGAAACUUCGAAAUGAUGUCAAAAUUUUCUGCUUUGUACCCAUGUCAUUGGGCAGCCCAUCAAAGAAGCACCCUGAGAAUGGCUGCAGUUUUGCUGUUGCUCUUGAGUAGUUCAAAGACUCUUUCAAAAGGAAAAAUGAUGCUUUCGAGAUAGCAAAAUACUAGAUAACCACUGCAGGAAACCUCUGUUGUUUUUCCUAUCCAUCAUCCAUACUCUUCUUUCUGGUAACACCACCUUGAUUUUCCUCUGAGGGCCGCCUCCUUCCACACUCAGCCCAUGGGCUUUGGUGGGGUUGGUCCACCCCAUGGAGGCCCCCUGGCUUCAGGGCUGGACACAGUCCCUGUCAAUAGACACCUGUAUCUCCUAUUCUUCUGGCCUUGGGUGAAGGGUAGACUGGGCCAAGUCAGAGUCAAUCCUGAAAGAUUUUGCUGGAAGCAUUGAGAAAGAGACUCUAUUUCUACUGAAAUUGAUGGAUGAAUACAGUAUAUGUUGGGAAAAGUAAAAUAAAAAAUAAUCACUGUUGCUACCAUAUUGGGAGAGUCAGCAGGAGGAUAGAGGCUACGGAGGAAAACUAAGCCAGAGUGAAAGCCUGCUGGCAUAGGCUGUAGACUGGACCCAGAUAUGCCUGAAAGCAGCACCCUGACCCUUCGGUUAUGCUGUUGCUGUAUUCCUUUUUCUUCCUUUAUCUCAUCUGAGCAUCCUUUCUGUUAGUUGCAAUUGAAACUACCUUGUAUCUUUGAGUCAUACAAAGAUAUUAAACUUUUUUUCAUUUUCUA
Non-coding RNA from Microcebus murinus (gray mouse lemur), 2533 nucleotides. NCBI's taxonomy places the organism in Eukaryota, Metazoa, Chordata, Mammalia, Primates, Cheirogaleidae. The record is from RefSeq and is a predicted model, not a curated record.